Molecule: ribosomal RNA, 433 nt
Filed under: uncultured bacterium
Lineage: Bacteria
Description: partial 16S ribosomal RNA
Rfam family: Bacterial small subunit ribosomal RNA
Source: RNAcentral
AACGAACGCUGGCGGCAUGCCUAACACAUGCAAGUCGAACGAGACCUUCGGGUCUAGUGGCGCACGGGUGCGUAACGCGUGGGAAUCUGCCCUUCGGUUGGGAAUAACUGAGAGAAAUUUCAGCUAAUACCUUAUAAUGUCUUCGGACCAAAGAUUUAUCGCCGAGGGAUGAGCCCGCGUAGGAUUAGGUAGUUGGUGGGGUAAUGGCCUACCAAGCCGACGAUCCUUAGCUGGUCGGAGAGGAUGAUCAGCCACACUGGGACUGAGACACGGCCCAGACUCCUACGGGAGGCAGCAGUGGGGAAUAUUGGACAAUGGGCGAAAGCCUGAUCCAGCAAUGCCGCGUGAGUGAUGAAGGCCUUAGGGUUGUAAAGCUCUUUUACCCGGGAUGAUAAUGACAGUACCGGGAGAAUAAGCACCGGCUAACUCCGUG